Schistocerca serialis cubense is the source of this 531-nucleotide long non-coding RNA. RefSeq lists it as uncharacterized. NCBI's taxonomy places the organism in Eukaryota, Metazoa, Arthropoda, Insecta, Orthoptera, Acrididae. The record is from RefSeq and is a predicted model, not a curated record. The transcript is spliced from 2 exons.
UUCCAUUAGGUACACGCGGUUUAAUUUUUCACUGUCAUUAAGGUCGAUAAGUGAGGGGGAGAUUACAAGCUCCUUAUUUCAUCUGAAAUGGACUAUCUAUCUGAUGAUCCUUGCAAUCAUUUUGAACAAGAGGACAAUGAUGGAGGGCAAGUGUGGUGAAAGCACUGACAAAAAUAGAUAAGCCACCUGCCAGGAAAAGGAAGUGUCACGCUAGUGAGAGUCCAAUGCCAUCUCCAAGUACUUCAAAACUAGCCAGUGCGGAAGUUUAUCCAGAAGCUGAUGUUUGUUUCGACAACAUUGGCAUCUUCCAGUGGUCAGCAACAAAAAAUCAUUUGACAGGUGCAAGAAACUGGGUUGCAAAGGUAAAACCAAAUUUUAUUGUGUAAAAUGUAACAGUCACUUAUGUCUGGAUAGAAAAAAAAAAUGUUUUUUAGAUUAUCAUUCUUCACAAGUGUAAAACCAUAUGAUCAUUAAGUAAGCUUUGUGUAAUUUGUGUAUGUUGGUGAAAUAAAAUCAAAUAAAAUACUUUGA